AAUGGGGGCAACCCUGAUCCAGCCAUGCCGCGUGAGUGAAGAAGGCCUUAGGGUUGUAAAGCUCUUUCACCCGUGACGAUGAUGACGGUAGCGGAAGAAGAAGCACCGGCUAACUACGUGCCAGCAGCCGCGGUAAUACGUAGGGUGCGAGCGUUAAUCGGAAUUACUGGGCGUAAAGCGUGCGCAGGCGGUUUGGUAAGACAGGCGUGAAAUCCCCGGGCUUAACCUGGGACCUGCGCUUGUAACUGCCAGGCUAGAGUACGGCAGAGGGGGGUGGAAUUCCACGUGUAGCAGUGAAAUGCGUAGAGAUGUGGAGGAACACCAAUGGCGAAGGCAGCCCCCUGGGUCAAUACUGACGCUCAUGCACGAAAGCGUGGGUAGCAAA
RNAcentral lists this ribosomal RNA (385 nucleotides) under uncultured bacterium. RNAcentral describes it as "bacterial SSU rRNA". It matches the Rfam family "Bacterial small subunit ribosomal RNA", at positions 370 to 772 of the family's 1533-position model. The record is from RNAcentral.